CCCGUUACCUGUGAGGGGUGGGUCGUGUGACUCGGCCUGUUCCAGCAGGAGCCCGCUGGACGCGGCGGGCACAGCAGGAAUGCUGCUUGUUUGGGAAGGCUGUGCAGGGCUGGCUGCUCUGCCUCCCCCCCUGGCAGCGGCUCAGCCCGUCCCUGUUGCUGUUACAGCACAGCUGCUCCCCAAACCUCUUCGUGCAGAACGUCUUCGUGGACACCCACGACCUUCGCUUCCCCUGGGUCGCCUUCUUCGCCAGCAAGAGGAUCCGGGCGGGCACGGAGCUGACCUGGGAUUACAACUACGAGGUGGGGAGUGUGGAGGGCAAAGAGCUGCUGUGCUGCUGUGGGGCCAUCGACUGCCGGGGCCGCCUGCUCUGAGCCCCCCCUGCUCCCCACGGUCCUGGUGCUUCCCUCGGGGAGGGAAAAGGUUCUCCAGAGCUUCUGUGUUCUCCUGGUCCCUUGGAAAGUCACGGAUGGACGCGGGGCAGGAAGGGAAUCUGGGGGAUUCCCGACCCCUGGGCUUCUCCCACCUUCCAGAGGCUCCAGUUACCACCACAACCUCCCUCAGGAAAGGGAGUUUUUCCUGUUCCCUUCCAGCUCUCUGCCAAACUUGAGGCACAAACCCCCUUCUUUUCCAGCAGGAAGCACUUCCCCAAGACUCCCAACUUCAUGGUUGGGAUUGAGGCCUUGGGAAGUGGGAGGGAAAGAGGACGGUGAAAUCCCAGAAAGGUGGGACCAACCUGGAUUUCUGUGACGUGAAUCAUCUGUGAGAUGAUGUUGUAAAGAAUCUUUUGUACUUUUGGUUGUUAAAAAAAAAAAGCAAUAAACUUAAUGGUUUUUUUCUACUA
Molecule: long non-coding RNA, 844 nt
Organism: Corapipo altera (White-ruffed manakin)
Lineage: Eukaryota; Metazoa; Chordata; Aves; Passeriformes; Pipridae
Exons: 3
Source: RefSeq, a predicted model, not a curated record